UUUGUUUAAAAGACUAACUUUUCUCCAUCAAAUUGCCUCUGAUCUUUUGACAAAGAUCAGUUGCCCAUGUUUGUGAGUCUAUCUGUGGACUCUGUAUUCUUUUCCAUUUAUCUCCUGGCACAUUCUUACCCCAGCAUCACACUCCCUGUACCUUUCUAAAUCCUGGAAUGGGGAAGUGCGGCUUACUCAACUUUGCUCUUCAGUGUUGUGCAGGAUAUUCCAGUUGCAGAAACGGUUUGUAGAUGUCUACAAAGUAUCUGACUGGGACAUUGACUGGGGUUGUGUUGACUCUGUAGGUCCAGUCGGGAAGAGCUGACAUCUUAAUUAGACUGAGUCUACUGAUCAUGGAAGUGAAAUAUGUCUCCUAUUAGGAUGGUCACCUCUAGGAUGGAGAUCGUGUUGCUGGUCACCAUUGGGCCCACACUGGCAGGUGUAAGCCUGAUGGUCAUUAGGAAGCUCAACAUGGGGUUGGGGACAACAUGCUGCUCAGGGAUGAAGAUGCAGGGCACGUUCUUCCUUCCACGGGCAGGUGAAGCAGUGGCUGAUUUUGAACAGCAAAACCACACUUUUGGGUACUGCUGCUGGUGUUCCAACGCAGUGCCAUGGGACAUGGAAUCCAAUUCCACGUCAGCCCAGCCAAAGUGAGGCUGCAGCUCCCUGGGCUGCUGGAAGUGUGCCUUAGCAGCUCGGGCUGCAGGCACGGCUUCCACGUGACUUCAACAGUCUCCUCUUUGCUGCCUCAUUGCUUGCUCACCACGGUGGGUCAUUUGUCCACACGGCACAGAAGACUGUCUGCAUCCUGCCCCCAAGAGAGACAGCAUUUUCCUGAGGGGACAGGGAUUUGAUUUCCCAUGAUUAGAUUUUGUCACAUUACUUGGCACUCUACCAGGUGCAAGGGGUUCUCUAGUACAUGAGAUGAUAAUUUUUAAAAAACCUUCAAAUUUGAUUUCGUGACCCAGCCCCUUCCAUGUGACUUUCUGAGUAAGUCCCAGCCCAUACUUCUGGUUUCAGACGAUUCUCACUCAUGCUUACUUAUUUUUCCCAUUGUUGGUAAUAUCUCCCAGUCGCCACAAUGCUCAUCCAUUGUCUGAUUCCCAGAACAAAACACAGUUAGAGAUUGUUCAGAGUUUUGAAAGAGUUUUAUUUUAUUCCAUUAAAGUUAAAAAUAGUACCAGAUGUAACAGACUUAGUUAAAAGUCAAAGAUUGAAAAUAAAACAUGUCCUAGUACAGAUUGCUAGCUCUGUGGAAACCAGUUCUAACUUCAUUUGCAAUGGUGAUAGGCCUUAGUUGGAACGAUUAUGGAGGUUAUUGGGAGAAUGGUCAGGGAGAGGAAUGAAGUAUUGUCUAUGCAUCUUCUUCCACCUCAGCACAAACACACACGCAUGGAAUCACUGUUCUUGAGCCUGGAAUGGAAAGCUGAACAGAGAGGAGAAGUCUUAGAGACCCAAGUGGGAACACGCUCAGCCAGAAAUUGCUGUCCCUUCUCUUUGCCAGGCUCUGGGCCAGGCAUGGGUCGGCAGACAUAACCGUGAGCAAGUCAAGGGGCCUUGCCACCAGGGACUCCCUGUCUAGCGAGGCAGACAGGCUCACACAACAAUAAUUAGAGUACAGAGUGGGGAGCCUGACACUAGCAGUGGAUACACAGAAGUGUGCAAGCAAAAGAAGGAAGUCUCCAAUUUGCCUGGAGUCAUAGAAAAGACAACACAGAGGAAAUGGCCCCACUCUGGGCCCUGAAGGGUGGAUCAGCUGGUGGAAAGAAGUAGAGGGCAUUCUGACAUCGGGAGAAGCCUGUGGAAAACCAGGAGUGUUCAACACUUUCGCAUGUCGAGUUGUCCCAGAUGGCUAAAGGAGGGGCUGUGUAUCGGGGUGGGAGAGAGACACAGCUUGAACGCUGGCUGUGGUCAGGUCCCACAUACCUCCUAUGUCUCUGAAGGACAUUCAAUAUGUCAGUGGAGACAACAGGGAUUCAGUGAGGCUUUGUCAGAUUUUCAUUUUAAAAGUGCUCUUGCAGUAGCAGUAGCUGGACUGACAGAAAAACAAGCUUCAGGAGCCUGUGACUGUCACCAAGAGGAGGCCCCAGGAUUCCCAGCCCUGGGACUGGGGAGCAGGGCUGAGGGGUGCAGACUCAGGAGGGAUUUCUGAGGUGGAAUGGACAGGACAUGACACCCAAUCAGAAGGGCCUGGUUGAGAGAGAGAGAAAGGAAGGGGCAGGUGUGACUUGGGUUUGGGGCCAGCAUUAGCAGGGGGGAAAGGAACGGAGAUCCUUGGAACCAGACAGACCCAGCUUCCAACCCCAGCUGUCCUGCUAUCAAGUAUUGCAUUCAUGGGCGGGUCACUUUUCAGAGCCUCCAUUUGUUCCCUAAAGAAGAGUAAUGAACAGGAUUCGGUGGGAGCUGAUGAGAUCCUGGAGGCCUGGGGCAGAGAGAUCCGAGGCAGGAUGGAGGCUGUCUGUGAGGAUUAUUGUAGGCAGGCUCAAAGCUAUGCCCUGUCACAGGACUGGUGGGUCAUGGGAAGAGGGCCUGUGGUGAGUACUGUUGAGAGUGGGGAAAGGAAUGCUGGCAGGGUCUAUGCCAGGGAGGCAGUGGGGGAUGUUCCCACUGACAGGAUUUGGAGGCUUAUGGCAUUGGGAUGCUGCCGGUCGGGAUGCGGUGGUGAGAAAAAGUGUCAGAUGCUUGGUAAUUGCUACAAAUUUAAAGCUACAUCAGAUCCUAGACCAGAGCUCAGUGCAGGAGGAAGAACAAAGGACCCCCAGGCCCUGGGAACUUGAGUUGGCUCUUCUGCCCAAGUCCAUCGAGGAGUUAACGGGAGAAAGGAGGUCUGUGUGAAAGUGCUCAUCAGAGCAGCACAGAACACUGAGACCCAGGGAGCGGGCUGGAAUAACUCCCGUGAAGGAGUAGGGCCGAGCACGCCACAAGCAAGGCUGUGUAGCGAGGCUUGGGGGGCCCAACACACCCAUGUCAGAGGAGUCGGCCUCCGCAGACCCACUGGGAACCGCUCCUUUACCCCCACAGGGGAAGCCAGUCCAGGCCUCUGAAGAGGAAUUCCAAGUCUCCACCACACAGAGACCCACCACCAACAAACAGACGCAAUAAACCAGCCGCUGCUUCCCACGGCCUCCUGCAGACCCUUCUCGGAGCUGCACGGCCACACUGGGCCUCCACAGCCUAAGAGAAAUCAAGGGACUGGAGUGGAGCCAAAGGAGAGCAAAACAUGAUCCAGGGAGUGAGAAGAGGACCCACGAGGCAAGUUAACGAAACCGGGGCUGAUUUGCCUAAAACAGCAAAGAGGAAAUGGGAACGGCGUUCAAAUUCAUGAAGAGGGGCCGGGGUCCAGUUAUUUCCCAAUUUCAAGAGCACAGAAUAACAGGCAAAUGGCCUAACUUGCCACGAGAGAGAUCAGGUAAAGAAGGAGUUUCACAAAUGUCUGUACCUCUUGGAAUGGCCUUCCCUGGAGGAACUGUCAAAUACGGUUGUCCCCUCUCCCUGGGGGCAGCCUGCUGGAGACUAGAUAUGAGGCCCUGGCUUGUCUCCAGAGACCCACCAAUCCCAGCUCUCCUGGCGCCUGGAGCCUGGCAUCUCUUCAGAGCAGAAACCUGACAAGUGUGUGGCCAGCCUGGACCAUGGGAGCAUCUGUGCUUCCCCUGGUGGGUCUCCGGAUCCAAGAACAAGCCUGACUUUAAUCCGGUUUUCUCUUUGCUGUGUUCGAGAUACAGCCAACAGCAGGUGCCUGCAGGUUCUUUGGCAGCUGUUAGGAAGUGUCUUACACCAUCCGCAAGUGGCAGUGUGGUCUGAUCAGUGUGUGUGGUUCCCAGCACAUUGAAGAUACUCAGAGAACCCUGGGAGGCUCCAGCUCCCAGGCAGCUCUGCUCUGCUGGCUAUGGCUGCUACCGGGCUCACGCGUACUGUCCACCACUGGGAGUUCAGUCCCUCAGCCACCCAUUGCUCACGGAAGGAACCGAGUCAAGACACAGAACCAAGCCUGAGGGCCUGCCUCCCCCCGCCCACAAAACACCACAUAGGAGACGUAUUUACCCACAGACAGCAUAACAGUGCAGUUUGUUAGUAACCAGCACACUUGCGAUAGUGAAGGAGGGGUGCUGUUGAUAAUCACGCUAGACCAAAACUGCCACCUAUGGCCACACAAUCUAUCACUCAUAUUCAAAGCUCAAAGAUAAGAGGGAGGUGCCCUCGGUAUUGAAAUUCUUCAGGAAUCCUUGGAAGCUAGAAGAAAAUACAGAAAAGGAACAUCUGUUUUAUCAAAUGUGUAUUAGUUAUCUAUUGCUGCUUAACAAGUCUCUUCCCCAUAUUAGUGGCUCAAAGCCACAUUCAUGAUGUCCUGCAGGUUCCGUGGGUGGGGAAUUCGGGAGCGGCUUAGCCAGACCGUCGGCCUCCAUCAGACACUGCCCUGGCUGCCACCAUCUGAAAGCUUGACUGUGGCUGGGAGGUCCACUUCCGAGCUGACGCACUCUCGGGGCUCCUUGGCAAGAGACCUCGGCUUCUCCCUCAGUUCUUCCCCACGGGGCUGCUUGAGUGUCCUCACCACAGGGCUGCUAGUGUCCCCAGAGACAGUGACCCGAGUCCCUCAGGCCUGUCCUGAUCUCGUCUCAGACUCAUGCACUGCCACUGUGGCCACUUUUCCUUCAUUGGAAUGCGCCACUGAGCCCAGCCCACACUAAGAGGCACGGAGGUGAAGCUUUCCUUGUGGAAUGAAACACAGUCUUCAAGUGUUUGGCCAUUGUUGUGAGGUCCCGUCUGCCUUUCUCCGAGCACUGCCUUUUCAUUCAGCCUGCACCAGGGAUCCCGGAAAAGCACGGGCGUGUGCAGCCAGGAGGGCUGUCUCAGAAGCUGCUGUUCUGGCCAUGCUGGCUCUCCGCUCCUCCCUGGGGUUUUCAGUCACUUGGGGUACUUCAAAGAUGGGCUCUCUUGGGAGGUAAUGAGUUCCCCAUCACGGUAGGUAUAAAAGGGGAAGUGGGAUGGUCAAUCGGCAGGUGACACAGAUAAGUAGAGAUGGGGAGGAUUUAGCCUAAGCGACCUCCCGUGUUCCUCCUGACCGAGAGCAUCCAUGAGUUCCUGAUCCCCCCAGGAACAUGCUUACUUUGGCAUCUGGAUGGGCCACAUAAGUACCGAGUCUGUGCUGUGUGGUAACGGAGGUGUCAGAGCCAAGAGGGGUUAAUCGGCCCAGAGGAGGCUCUCAGGAGCAGGUUUCUGAGGAGGUGAAGGCAUAGAUUCUUGAAGGGAGAAGAUCUGGGAAAAGAAGUGGGUGCGAGGAUCAGGAGCUUCAAUCUCCCCAAGAGAUGGAAUUGACACGAUUUCCAAAAUGGUAAUCAUGGGGGGUUGUCCAUUUCCUUUUGCAGCAAGCCUUGGGAGCUGUGCUUGGAGAGGUCAAAGCUGUUCUAGGAGCCCAUGUCUGAAGCUCCAUCAACAGGUGGAGCUACAAGGAGGCCGGCCCUUCACUUACACAGAGAUCAGCAUGGGCUGCCUGUAAAAUCCUGGCUUAGGAAAAUCGGCCUCCAUUUUCCGCCUGCUGGUACUCAGAGCAGAUGGAGCCAAAUGUGAGCUUGGGUAAGAGAUCAGUGCCCUGUUCGUGGUGAAUGCCCAGGCUGUUGAACAAAAUAGCACACAGGCACAGGGCAGUUCUGGAGAGGAAGGGACAAGGAGCCACCUAUCUGAGAUUUCAGGGAGCAGAUCCUGGCCUCCGACCCAUACCGUCACCUACCAGUCCAGGGCCGAAUGCCAUGCCGGCUCUCACUUACUGUGAGCGAGGAGGUGGUUCCCACGCAGGGGCCCACCAUCUGCCCCAGGGGAGGUCUGCUCUCGGCCCCGCUGGCUGUUACUGAGGAGCGUGGAGUCCUCAUGGACAUAGCGCCAGCCCGGGCUCCCUGCUGCACGGAGAGGGGGACUAGAAGGCUGAGGAACCAGGGCUUGUGGGUGGAUUUCCCUUCCUGUCCUCUUCCCCUUGCACUGGCUCUUCUGUUUCAUUCCAUCAGGAACAAACCAAGGUCAGUGCUGGGGCACAUUUAGCCCCUUGGAAAGAGCUCUGUAACUUCCAGGUUUAAAAAAAGAAAAUUGGACUCCUACAGUCAAGGCUAGCAGCUGGAUAUUAAAGAUGGAAAAGAAGUGGGUCUUUAGGAGGGAAAGUGUGUAAUGCCCAGCACCUAUCAGGUCCAUUACGAGUGGACAACGUGACCAGUCAGGAGGAUUCAAGGCGCCGGAGCUGGACUGUCCCCAAGCUGGUCCGUCCCCUUGACUUCAAAGGAAACAAUGUUUAAGUUUCAGGAGCAGCGUUUCUGAAAGUUCUCUGGAACACAGGGAUCAGAACCACCCCAGUCCCAGUGAAACUGUCCUUCUCAGGCCACCCUUCCUAGGGAGAAUCACCACUGCAAACGCCAGGGCGGGAAUUCUCAUCACAGCUCAGGCGUCACAUCAGCCUUCCAUGCUCACAGCCCCCUGGAAGGUUUGCCUCUUACUUUCCCCUAACAGAUGUGUCCCUGAAGUCUGGCAGUCAGAAACACACAGGCUGUGUCUGCAGACAGCUCUGGUGGGGGCUCCGACGUACCUCCUAGCUGUGUGACUAUGGGAAAGCUACUUAACCUCUCUGUGCUGCAGGUUCUCAUUCGGAUAGUCAGGAUUUUAAAAUGAAAUAAUGCAUGGGAAGCACUUUAGCACAAUCCUACAAUUAUUUGAAGUACAUAAUAAAUGAUGUAGCAGUUAACAAACAAUCGAAUGCUUAUUAAAAAGUUUAAGUAGCCAGCUCACACGGUUCGUUUGAUAGUCGUGAUUUGUCAGUCUGUCCUACCAGACAGAAAAGUCUCUGAGGCAAGCGGGGGUUCUCAUUAGUUGGGUUUCUCAAGCCCCUAACACAGCGUUGCUAAUUGCUGAUGGAGCAAACGAAUGAACAAGGAAAGGGUGUGCAGAGCAGGUAUGUGGCAGGGCUGGACUGAAGCUGGGGCUGGACCCUAGCCUUGCUUCCAGGAGUGUUGAGAUGCCCUGGCACUGACGGGGGCCUCUGGGCCAGUGGGUCCCGCUUUUGGUUUGUGAAGAAGGCCUGCACCUUAUUGAGAGGGUUGAGGGUUCCUGGGCACUGCAGACACGUGGGGGCAGGAGGCAGAUGGAGCAACAGCCACUUUCCAGUAGGAAGGAAUGGUGAGGGAGGGGGUUUCCUCAACUGCGGGCUCUUGGCCCCUGAGACUGGGUGGGAGGGCACAGGACAGGCUGCGGCGGGGCGCUUGGUCCUCUGGCCUGCCUGCACAGUGGAAGCACCUGGGGCUUUGACUCAGGCUCUGCCCAUUUGCAGGGAUUCCGAGUUAAUUAAUCUGGGUGGGGUGGUUUUAUCUCAACUCGCUUCCUUCUAAUAAGUCGCCAAGGUUGGGGAUCGCCAUAGCCCCCCAAGGUGGGUCGCAGCCCCCCUUGAUACAGCCAGCCAGCCCCUUGAGUCUGCGUAACCCCCUCGCUGAGCUCCGGAUGGUCCCCAGAGGGCACUGGAGUCCUGACUUCACAGCUCAGGGAGGCUGCAGUGGAGGAGGCGGGGACGCCAGGAACCAGGAUUGAGGGCAGGGCCCUCCACGCGCGGCAUGCUGCCCACCCCCACCCCCAGCGGUCCCCUGGGUCCCCGGCCUGGAGAGUCCCAUUCCAAGGGCGUGGGAGGGCGCCCGGGAAUCUGUAUUGCUCACACACAAACCCAGAUGCUUCUCUGGAUCAGGCAAGUUUGGGAAACAUCGCCAUGCGCUCUUUCCUGGGUCCAGGCCACGGGAAGGAUACGGGAGUCAACCCGCCCCCGGAAACCUGAAGCACUGCGUCAGAACCGAACGCCCGGAGCCGCCCGCCCCUGAGUCCAGGCUGAUUCCUCAGGCCGCCGCCGUCCGGGUCGGUUUUGAGACGUGGGCGGUGGACCGCUUCUCAGACCCGCCACCCGCCUUCUGCAGGGAUCUUCCUCCUCCCGGGCUAAGGCUCAGGCUGGCUCCUGCCAGCACAGCGCGCGCGCACACGGGGGAAAGCUUUGAAAAAAUGACGGCGUAGACGAGCUCACCGGCGGCGGGGCUGCGGAGCGGUUGGAGUUGACUCCCUGCAGCAGGGAAUCCCUCGGUCCCACGCCCGCUCCCCGCCCGCAAGCUGCGGCACUGAAGGGCAGGGACGAGGGCAGCGAGCGCGCCGCCCGAGGAGACACCGAAGAGCUGAUCGAAAGUUCUCUGUGCUUCAGAAGCACACAUUUGGCACAGGGACCUUCAUGCAUCGCUGACCUUCUCUGUUUUCUUAGCCUGGUCUGGUUCCCCAAAGAAGAACCCUGAAGCCUCCUGCUGAGGAUUUAAGCUGGAUGCAGGGCCUGUGAGCUGACGGGAUCAGAGUUCAAGUGGAUGUCUCACCCUUAAGUGUGCUUUGUGGUUGUUCUUUAAUCCUUUCGUUUUCUGGUUGGCACCUUGCUCCCACCCUCCCUCGAGCUAUGACUGGGGUCCCUGAGUGCAGAUCUUCCCUGCCUCAGUGUCUCCAGAAAGUACAUCUCCUAGUCUGUGGGACACGGGGGUCAUUCGGCCAGCUCUGCUGGCUUGGCAAGGGACCUGGGGCUCUGCUUCUACUUGGACAGCCCCUAAGCCCAGCCUGUGCUGGCCCCAGAGAUGCCCCCAGUCUGCCAUUCCCAAGCCUUUCUGGGAUGCUGCUCAGCCAUCUCACCCUGCUGAUGGCCCCCCACCGGGAGACGGGGUUCCUGCUUGCUCUCCUCUGCUGAGUGGAUAACCUCUUCCAUCUUCCAAAGCUCGGUCGCUCUCUCUUCUCUCCAACUCUUUGAGUGUUUUAUGGUGAUUAUUAGGAUUCCUUAUGGUAGGGUCUCAGGAGGGCGUGCAGACGACCCUGAGGGUCCGCCGUGUCCAUGAGCGAUCAGCCCUGCUGUUGUGACCGUGCUCCCCAGACGGACACGGUUCCUUCUCUCACUUCUCAUUCUGCUCUUUCUGUUCUUUCCUGUGGAAACAAACAUCACAUCCAUUUUUAAAUGCUUCAAAACUUUCUUUUAAAAAUCUAUAAAUACAGUUAACAUAGACCUAAUUGGAUAGAUGUUACAGCUGCGGAAAGUAAAGGCUCUUUUAAGGAAUGCAACUACAUCACCUAAAGAAGCUGAACGUUUUUCUUCCUGGCAUAGAUGAUGUUGUAAUGAACUCAUUACAGUUGCAAAAAAAUUUUGUUUUGUAUCAGAAUGUGUUCCAGAGGCCUUUUAAGCUAAAUUGUUCCUACAGUAUGAUUUACCAAGACCGGUGAGAGAAACAUUUUCCGAUGUUUCUUCUGUACCAAAUGGCUGGCCCUGGGGCCCUGUGACUCCCGGAGCUGUACUAACCAGCUCCGUAAUCUGUUCAGUUUUCUAAUUAUCAGCUCUCUGGCAUGGAGAAAGUGAAGCAGAUAUAAUCUAGACACAAUGUUUUAGGAAACAGUCUCCGUAGCUGUUUCUCUCUGUGUGUUUAGUAUUUUAUUAAACUUAACGUUCUUAUCCCAGCACUUGUUACUUAAAAAGGCGUGUACUGAUUGCUUCCCUGCCAGGAGCUGUCUGCAGACCUUGGCGGCACGGUCUCACAGUCCUGGCGGAGGAGUCCCGCAGCCUGUCCUGUUAGUGCCCUCGCCGUGCAAAGGAGGGACGUCGGCUUCGGCGGGUGAGCCUCUGCUAAGAGGCAGGUGCAGGCGCUCCCCAGCCUGUGUCAUGACGCAGAUGGGGUCUUAACAGGCCGUGGUAGACAUUUUGUAAUCUUGUACUCUAUCUUUGGGAUACUUAUCAUGUCUAUAGCAAUGAGAUUGUAAUUUCAUUGGGUUUUAAAUAGAAUGGCAAGGUGGUUGUGAUAAACUUUGUCAUUUGAACUGUGUGCACUGAAUCUCACGCUUUGUGACAGGCUGCCGUUUCCAUCCUCACACUUCCUCCAGCUCAUUCUUCAUUCGGCUUCCUUGUGCUUUGUUUAAUGCCCAGAAUACCUUGCCUCCAAUUGCUAGAUUGGGAUGGAGAAGGCCAAAUAAUUCAGCAUCAUAUUGAUAUUUUUUUAAUCCUUUAGGCUUUCAUGUCAUCCCAAGGCUACAUUAUGAGCUCAGCUUCCAGGCAACUGCUUAAAAAUUCAGGCCAUCUCCUUGGACUCAGCCUGGACCUUCCAGCCGUUCACCUGCUCCUGGGAGCUGGGGUCGCUGGGGCAGUCUCGAUGGGCCACUCUGGGGACUGCUGAGGGACCCUGCCAUGCCAUCCUUCCGUGGGCCGUGCUGAGUGCCACCCUGCAGCUUGACCAAAAGAUCCUCAUUUUGUGUUUUGCUGUAUUUGUAAUUAAAGCCAGGAUAGGAUUUAAGCAUUUCUCAUGAGGUCUAUGCUCACAUGAAUCUGAAUGUCAUCUGAGAACCUGGUUUGGCUCUUUUGCUUUUGUCUUUUAAAUCCUGGGUUUUGGCAGUGAUCUUGGGCGCCCGCACUGGAAUCAGAGUCUGUGUUAACUCUCAGAGUGCAGCUGCGCCCACGAUGCGUUCCUGAAGUGAGGCAUGCCAAGGAACUUCUGAACUAAAAUCAUUUUUCCAGCCAAUUUCAGUAUAAUUUGAGAUAUUAUCAUGGAAAAGAUGAUUGAAAAACAAUUUUGGUCCCCAUCACCCAUUGUCUCAUAAAAUGUGAAAUAUUUUA
Equus caballus (horse) is the source of this 10621-nucleotide non-coding RNA. The record is from RefSeq and is a predicted model, not a curated record. NCBI's taxonomy places the organism in Eukaryota, Metazoa, Chordata, Mammalia, Perissodactyla, Equidae.